RNAcentral lists this ribosomal RNA (446 nucleotides) under uncultured bacterium. RNAcentral's name for it is "partial 16S ribosomal RNA". It matches the Rfam family "Bacterial small subunit ribosomal RNA", at positions 354 to 796 of the family's 1533-position model. The record is from RNAcentral.
GUGAGGAAUAUUGGUCAAUGGAGGCAACUCUGAACCAGCCAUGCCGCGUGCAGGAAGACGGUCCUAUGGAUUGUAAACUGCUUUUAUUUAGGAAUAAACCCCCGGUCGUGCACCGGGGCUGAAUGUACUAAAAGAAUAAGCACCGGCUAACUCCGUGCCAGCAGCCGCGGUAAUACGGAGGGUGCAAGCGUUAUCCGGAAUCAUUGGGUUUAAAGGGUCCGCAGGCGGGUAAAUAAGUCAGAGGUGAAAUCCGGCAGCUCAACUGUCGCACUGCCUUUGAUACUGUUUAUCUUGAAUUUUAGUGGAGUGGGCGGAAUAUGUCAUGUAGCGGUGAAAUGCUUAGAUAUGACGUGGAACACCGAUAGCGAAGGCAGCUCACUAACUAUGAAUUGACGCUCAUGGACGAAAGCGUGGGUAGCAAACAGGAUUAGAUACCCUGGUAGUCC